CAGCAGCCGCGGGAAUACCAGCACCUCGAGUGGUCAGGAGGUUUAUUGGGCCUAAAGCAUCCGUAGCCGGUUGCAUAAGUUUUCGGUUAAAUCUAUGCGCUUAACGUAUAGGCCGCCGAAAAUACUGUGCAGCUAGGGAGUGGGAGAGGUACACGGUACUCGAUAGGAAGGGGUAAAAUCCUUUGAUCUAUUGAUGACCACCUGUGGCGAAGGCGGUGUACCAGAACACGUUCGACGGUGAGGGAUGAAAGCUGGGGGAGCAAACCGGAUUAGAUACCCGAGUAGUCCCUGUCUCUUAUAC
RNAcentral lists this ribosomal RNA (301 nucleotides) under uncultured bacterium. RNAcentral's name for it is "partial 16S ribosomal RNA". It matches the Rfam family "Archaeal small subunit ribosomal RNA", at positions 459 to 760 of the family's 1478-position model. The record is from RNAcentral.